UACGUAGGGUGCAGGCGUUAAUCGGAAUUACUGGGCGUAAAGCGUGCGCAGGCGGUUUUGUAAGUCUGUCGUGAAAUCCCCCGGGCUCAACCUGGGAAUGGCGAUGGAGACUGCAAGGCUAGAGUUUGGCAGAGGGGGGGUAGAAUUCCACGUGUAGCAGUGAAAUGCGUAGAUAUGUGGAGGAACACCGAUGGCGAAGGCAGCCCCCCUGGGUCAAAACUGACGCUCAUGCACGAAAGCGUGGGGAGCAAACAGG
Molecule: ribosomal RNA, 256 nt
Filed under: uncultured bacterium
Lineage: Bacteria
Description: partial 16S ribosomal RNA
Rfam family: Bacterial small subunit ribosomal RNA
Source: RNAcentral